This 108-nucleotide small RNA is filed under the name Marmota monax (woodchuck). Lineage: Eukaryota; Metazoa; Chordata; Mammalia; Rodentia; Sciuridae. The record is from RNAcentral.
GCCUGGUGUGGGGGCGCACGCCUGUAAUCCCAGUGACCAGGGAGGCUCAGGCAGGAGGAUUGCAAGUUCAAGGCCAGACCUGGCAACCUCGCAAGAGCAUCCCUGGGU